GAACAAGGACCCCUCAGGCCUUAGCUUCUGUUGAGUUAUUUGUUUGUUUGUUGGAGUUGGUGCUGAGCUGCUAAGAUGUCUUCAUACUCUGAACAUCUUCUGUACUUAGCAGCUUGGCGUGAUCACCCUUGAAGUGCAUUUGAGUGUUGCAUGAUGCUUAACUUCUUUAGUUACUCAACCACUUCAGAUGAUCCCUUGAUGACUGCCUUGAAGAUCAUUCCUCUUGAUACAUGAUGGCUGCACAUGAUGGGUUUCUAAGAUGACAUUAAGCUCUUCUCUAGGUACUUAGAAACUUUCUCAUGCUUGCCACCAUGAUGACGUUUAUGAUCUCCUUUCUUGAUACUUGAUGCCUUCUCAUGAUGGACUUGCUAAGAUGACUGUGAGCUCUUCUCUAUGGUACUUAGAGUCUUCCCAUGAUGGACACCAAGAUGACAUGACGCUCUUCUUUCUCUCGGCAGUUCAGAACACUCUUCAUGUAGUAGAACUCUCACUUCUACUUCUUCCUUUGUAUGUCUCUGAGUGUUCUUGGUGGAUCAUAGAGUGAGCCUUCAGACUCACUAUUUUACAUGGUUUAGAA
RNAcentral lists this long non-coding RNA (577 nucleotides) under Panax ginseng (ginseng). RNAcentral describes it as "long non-coding RNA (PGIN_LNC007321)". The record is from RNAcentral. Lineage: Eukaryota; Viridiplantae; Streptophyta; Magnoliopsida; Apiales; Araliaceae.